CACGCGACCCCAGCUCAGGCGGGGCC
This 26-nucleotide ribosomal RNA is filed under the name Tessmannia lescrauwaetii. RNAcentral describes it as "partial 26S ribosomal RNA". The record is from RNAcentral. Lineage: Eukaryota; Viridiplantae; Streptophyta; Magnoliopsida; Fabales; Fabaceae.